RNAcentral lists this ribosomal RNA (506 nucleotides) under uncultured bacterium. Its description in RNAcentral is "partial 16S ribosomal RNA". It matches the Rfam family "Bacterial small subunit ribosomal RNA", at positions 29 to 523 of the family's 1533-position model. The record is from RNAcentral.
AGUGAACGCUGGCGGUAGGCCUAACACAUGCAAGUCGAACGGCAGCACAGGAGAGCUUGCUCUCUGGGUGGCGAGUGGCGGACGGGUGAGGAAUACAUCGGAAUCUACUCUGUCGUGGGGGAUAACGUAGGGAAACUUACGCUAAUACCGCAUACGACCUACGGGUGAAAGCAGGGGACCCUCGGGCCUUGCGCGAUUGAAUGAGCCGAUGUCGGAUUAGCUAGUUGGCGGGGUAAAGGCCCACCAAGGCGACGAUCCGUAGCUGGUCUGAGAGGAUGAUCAGCCACACUGGGACUGAGACACGGUCCAGACUCCUACGGGAGGCAGCAGUGGGGAAUAUUGGACAAUGGGCGCAAGCCUGAUCCAGCCAUACCGCGUGGGUGAAGAAGGCCUUCGGGUUGUAAAGCCCUUUUGUUGGGAAAGAAAUCCAGCUGGCUAAUACCCGGUUGGGAUGACGGUACCCAAAGAAUAAGCACCGGCUAACUUCGUGCCAGCCGCCGCUGUAA